RNAcentral lists this ribosomal RNA (253 nucleotides) under uncultured bacterium. RNAcentral's name for it is "partial 16S ribosomal RNA". It matches the Rfam family "Bacterial small subunit ribosomal RNA", at positions 524 to 776 of the family's 1533-position model. The record is from RNAcentral.
UACGGGGGGGGCAAGCGUUGUUCGGAAUUACUGGGCGUAAAGGGCGCGUAGGCGGCCUGCUAAGUCGGAUGUGAAAUCCCUCGGCUCAACCGAGGAACUGCAUCCGAUACUGGCGGGCUUGAAUCCGGGAGAGGGAUGUGGAAUUCCAGGUGUAGCGGUGAAAUGCGCAGAUAUCAGGAGGAACACCAAUGGCGAAGGCAGCUCGCUGGGACGUGACUGACGCUGAGACGCGAAAGCGUGGGGAGCAAACAGG